GGCGGCAUGGUAAGUUAGAUGUGAAAGCCCGAGGCUUAACCUCGGGCUUGCUUUCGAUACGGGCUGACUUGAGUACAGGAGAGGUAAGUGGAAUUCCUAGUGUAGCGGGGGAAUGCGUAGAUAUUAGGAACCUUAAAAAUGGCGCCCCCGACUUACUGGACUGAAACUGACGCUGAGGCUCGAAAGCGUGGGGAGCGAACAGGAUUAGAUACCCUGGUAGUCCACGCCGUAAACGAUGAGUGCUAGGUGUCGGGGGGGAACCCUCGGUGCCGCAGCUAACGCAAUAAGCACUCCACCUGGGGAGUACGAUCGCAAGAUUGAAACUCAAAGGAAUUGACGGGGGCCCGCACAAGCGUGGAGCAUGUGGUUUAAUUCGAAGCAACGCGAAGAACCUUACCAAGGCUUGACAUCCCUCUGACCGGUGUAGAGAUACACCUUCUCUUCGGAGCAGAGGUGACAGGUGGUGCAUGGUUGUCGUCAGCUCGUGUCGUGAGAUGUUGGGUUAAGUCCCGCAACGAGCGCAACCCUCGUCCAAUGUUGCCAGCGGGUUAUGCCGGGGACUCAUUGGAGACCGCCGGGGUCAACUCGGAGGAAGGUGGGGAUGACGUCAAGUCAUCAUGCCCCUUAUGUCCAGGGCUUCACGCAUGCUACAAUGGCCGGUACAAAGAGCUGCGAGCCUGUGAGGGUGAGCGAAGAGUUUGAUCCUGGGCUAGUAAUCGCGAAUCAGAAUGUCGCGGUGAAUACGUUCCCGGGCCUUGUACACAC
This 765-nucleotide ribosomal RNA is filed under the name uncultured Bacillota bacterium. RNAcentral describes it as "bacterial SSU rRNA". It matches the Rfam family "Bacterial small subunit ribosomal RNA", at positions 574 to 1390 of the family's 1533-position model. The record is from RNAcentral. Lineage: Bacteria; Bacillati; Bacillota.